RNAcentral lists this transfer RNA (73 nucleotides) under Myotis lucifugus (little brown bat). It matches the Rfam family "tRNA". Rfam says of the family: Transfer RNA (tRNA) molecules are approximately 80 nucleotides in length. Lineage: Eukaryota; Metazoa; Chordata; Mammalia; Chiroptera; Vespertilionidae. The record is from Rfam by way of RNAcentral.
GCCCGUGUGGCUCAGUGAGUAGAGCGUCAGCUUGGGGACUGAAGGGUCCCUGGUUCGGUUCUGGUCAAGGGCA